Molecule: ribosomal RNA, 253 nt
Filed under: uncultured bacterium
Lineage: Bacteria
Description: partial 16S ribosomal RNA
Rfam family: Bacterial small subunit ribosomal RNA
Source: RNAcentral
UACGAAGGGGGCUAGCGUUGCUCGGAAUCACUGGGCGUAAAGGGUGCGUAGGCGGGUCUUUAAGUCAGGGGUGAAAGCCCAGAGCUCAACUCUGGAAUUGCCUUUGAGACUGAGUGGCUUGAGUACGGGAGAGGUGAGUGGAAUUCCCAGUGUAGAGGUGAAAUUCGUAGAUAUUGGGAAGAACACCGGUGGCGAAGGCGGCUCACUGGCCCGUAACUGACGCUCAUGCACGACAGCGUGGGGAUCAAACAGG